This is a non-coding RNA of Myodes glareolus (Bank vole), 523 nucleotides long. Lineage: Eukaryota; Metazoa; Chordata; Mammalia; Rodentia; Cricetidae. The record is from RefSeq and is a predicted model, not a curated record.
CCGUGGUGGAGUUCCGGGCUCCGGGCUUCCCCUCCGCACUUCCCACUCGUUUUCGGGUCUCUUGCAUUCAGAUCCCCUGAAAUCCUUGACCCUUUUUUUGCCCCUAUGGACCUUGUUUAAGUGACCCGUCCCCACCCAGCUUCUCCGGGUCUCUGUUCCCGGACCCCCGCCUAUCCAGCCUUCAUCUUGGUCCUCCAGAUGCUGCAAUUCGGAGCUCUCUGGUGUGCCAUGUGCUGCAGCCAGGAAGAGAGCAGUGGACCCAGCAGACUAGGGAACGUUGCAGACCCUUGCUGGUGUGUAUGUAGAAAAAUGCAGAUUCGCCAACAGAACUUUGCCACGGUUUUGAAAGAGACCGCCACUCAUUCAGUAAACGGAGAUUUUGAAAAGCUUUCUUGGUAUUGAGACCAGGUGGCUGGACAGUUGGCCAGGAAGGCUUCUGUCGCCUUGCCAUGCAUGCACAUUCAUAGUCUAGGAAUGGUGUGGCCUGGUGACUUUGUCGCUGUGUGUCUGGGUGAGCCAGGAG